RNA transcript from Eupeodes corollae, 4911 nucleotides. It is a transcript of the gene named myb-like protein U, with no coding region annotated. Lineage: Eukaryota; Metazoa; Arthropoda; Insecta; Diptera; Syrphidae. The record is from RefSeq and is a predicted model, not a curated record. The transcript has 12 exons.
ACUCGAACUAAGGAGACGAUAGAACAGAACAGACGAGAGAAAAUUGCAAAAUUGAUCGAAAGUGGCGUGCGAACCGUCGCUUGUGCAAAUUAGCGUCUUCAUUUUCACUUAAUUAAUACAAAACAACUAAAAACUGUGCAUUUACUGCUUACUUAAUACCAAUUUAUUAACAUUUAUAACAAAGUAAUUAAGUGAAAAGUGAUUUUCUGCAAGAAAAAUGUAAAAGUUGGGUCAAUUUAUACAACUACUCCACCAUUUUGUUUUCAAUUUCCCACCCUUAAUAAUUAUUUUUUUUAUGUGCAGACUGUAAUUGCAGAUUGCACUCUUUUUGUGUUUCUGUCUGUUGUAAAGAAGAAAGAUAAAUAAAGCGAAGCAUUGAAAGCGAUUUAGAUAUCUUCAGUGUUUAUUAAAGAAUAUUUUAAACGUUUGCACAAUAAUUAAAAAAUGAAGUACGUUUUUUGUACGAUUAUAAAAUAGAACAAGUGUGUGGAUUUUAUUUUCAUAUUCCUUGUGUAAUUGUUGUGUACCUCGUAUUGUAAUGAAGAAAAAUGUAUCUAUUGUGAAUCAAUCAUAUUAGUGUUUGCUGUCGCCGUUUGUCACGUACACCUUUUAAAAUAGAGUUUUAACUUGCAACAAAUUUUGCUGGAACUAAUGAAUUGUAAAUUAACUGGAUAUUUCAUAGCAACAAAAGAAAAAUAAACUUAAAACAAAAUGGCACUAACUGGAGGAACAGAUCCAAAAAUAGCCCGCAUUAUGGUCUUUAGACCAACCUGGGAGGAGUUUAAAGAUUUCCCGAAAUAUGUAGCUUACAUGGAGUCUCAGGGUGCACACAAAGCUGGACUGGCCAAAGUUGUACCUCCCCCCGAGUGGGUACCAAGAAAAAGUGGCUAUGAAGAUUUGGAUGCACUAAAUAUAACAAUACCCGCUCCCAUUUGUCAGGUUGUAACUGGAAAACAGGGUCUAUAUCAGCAAAUAAAUAUUCAAAAGAAACCGCUCACUGUUAAACAAUUUGCUGAAUUGGCCAACACCGAGCGUUAUCAACCACCAAAACACUUUGAUUUUGAAGAUCUUGAAAGAAAAUAUUGGAAAAACAUAACAUAUGUUGCACCAAUUUAUGGUGCAGAUGUAAGUGGAAGUAUUACGGAUCCAGAAAUGAAUAGCUGGAAUAUAAACCGUUUGGGAACAAUAUUGGAUUUUGUAAAUGAAGACUAUGGUAUCCAAAUCGAUGGUGUAAACACAGCGUACCUGUAUUUUGGAAUGUGGAAAACAACAUUUGCAUGGCACACCGAAGAUAUGGACUUGUAUUCUAUAAAUUAUUUACAUUUCGGUGCACCUAAAACGUGGUACGUUGUACCGCCUGAAUAUGGUCGAAAACUGGAAAAAGUUGCCAAUAGUUACUUUCCUGCAAGCUAUCAAAACUGCAAUGCAUACUUACGACAUAAAAUGACUUUAAUAAGUCCACAGAUUCUCAAACAACAUGAAGUUCCAGUCAGUAAGAUAACACAAGAAGCUGGUGAAAUAAUGAUAACAUUCCCGUUUGGCUAUCAUGCUGGUUUCAAUCAUGGAUUCAAUUGUGCCGAGUCGACAAACUUUGCAAUGGAGCGUUGGAUUGAAUAUGGAAAACGUGCCGUUCAGUGUACCUGCAGUAAUGAUAUGGUGAAAAUAUCAAUGGACACAUUUGUAAAACGUUUUCAACCGGAUCGGUAUCAAGCAUGGCUUGAAGGAACUGAUAUUGGUCAGCAUCCUGAAGAUCCACCUAAUGCAUUAACGGUCGCUCCACCUCCAACACAAUUAGAUGUUCUAUGCAAUAAGAAAAAUGGGGAUGUUCCUGUACGAUUAUUCCAAAGAAUGAAAAAACAUUGUAAUCCAACAAAGAAGAAAUCGUUUAAAGAACGCAACCCUGACCUUGAUCUCGAUGAAAUUCAAUCAAAUCCAAAUAUACCAGACGACGUGAAAGCUGUUUUAAAAGAAAGUGUUUUAACAUUGGACAUGGAUGAGGACGAAGAAGUACCUGCAAUAAUAGAACCCGCUAAUAUAAGUAGCAUUAGUCCGGCCGUAUUGAAGACUAAAAAGGAAUUACUUGAUUAUAUUGACGAUGGAUCCGAAUUUGACGAUGAUGAGGACGCAUUUAAAAAACGUAAGCAAAAACGAAAGUCUGAUGCUGAAUACGACGACGAUUGGUACGAAAGUAAACGCCGUUCAACUUCUCGUGGUAAAGGACGAAGUCCUAAAGGAAAAGAAUCUCCAGCCGAGAGUACAGUAAAAAUUAAAAAGGAACGUCUGUCCACGGAGAAAAUAGAAAAAAUUUCUAAACAAAAAUCGCCUCGAAAGACACCCACUAGAAAAAAGAAGGAGAACAAUGAUUCUUCAUCUAGCUCCGUACCAUCAUCUCCAGCAACAACCCCUAAACCAGCCGAUACAGAGGUUCUACGUAAAUUAAACGAACAUUUGAUGAAAAAUCUUAGCCCUACAUUUCAAUUCACUAAUCAUCCCAUUAAAUUUGAGGGAAAAAUCCCGAUAGUUAAAAAAUCUCCAUCAUCUGAAAAUAUUUAUCAGUCAAACGAUUUGUUUCAGCAACAAUUAAAAGUAGAAUCUUCUUCGGCAAUGUCGUCGCCUUCAUCUUCGGUUUCAGUUUGUGUAAAUUUAAACAAAACGUCUCCUCCAAAAAACACAGUUGAUUCGGCUGCAUCUGCUGCAGUGGCUGCAGCUGCUUACACGAACAAUUCUAGUCAACACAAUACUUUAAAUACAACGAUUGUGUACAAAGCCAUCGGAGGUGGAACAACAACAUUAUCACCAAUAGCCAUGAAAACUACUGCUUCGAAUAAUAUAAUAACAACAACAGAUGGUACAGCUCUAUGUAUCAAAAAUGAAGUCAUUGAUAGCGAAGGAAGUGUUGAUGCCGAAUCGGAAAUUAUAAAUACUAGUCAAAGUGGUGGUACAGGAGCGUCAUCAGAUGUUUACAUGGUCACCACUGAUAAUAAUACAACGUACAUCAUAAAUCAACAUCCAUCGCACCAAAUUACAUCAAUGCCUACUGCAAUAGGAAAAAUUGAAUGUACGGACGAUGUAAACAAUGACAACAAUUCAGCAUCAAUGAACAGUGCUUCAUCAAAUUACACAACAAAAAUGCUGUACAAUCUUAAACAGAAACGAAAACGAAAGCUGCGCAACGAACCCGACGAACAAUCGGAAUACUUGGAGAAAAUGUCUGUCCGCGGGUUGGAUAUUCAGAAAUAUGAGCAUAUUGUUGACGGAGUUGCUUAUUGUGCAGUGUGUGCUAAAAAAGAGAUCUUCAAAACAUUUAAAAACAAAUACAGUUUUCAAAGGCAUGCUUACCUAUUCCACGAAGGUGACAAUCGUAAAAUUUUUGCUUGUCCUGUAUGUAGUAAGGAGUUUUCGCGACCGGAUAAAAUGAAAAUGCAUAAAAAAGACAAACACAGCGAAAUUGUUGAUAUGGAAGAGCAAAUGAAGGCAGCUGCAGAGGAAGAGAAACCACCUGUAGUAGUCAAAACGCCUGUUCGAAGAAAGCGAGUUACUAAAGCUCAAAAACUACUGCAGCAACAACAACAACAAAUGGAAGAAGAAGAAGAGCAGCAACAGAUGCAAGGUGAUAGCCCCACAAUAGGAACAAUAAUUGAAACGAAAUCAGAAAACAAUAAUAACAGCAACCAAAGUUUAAACAAUUGUACAUCUCAUCAGAUGCAAACAAUUGAUUUGAGUAGCAUGAUUUUACCUAGUCAACUUCAAAUAAGUACAGCCGAACUUCUACAACACCACCAGCAGCAACAACAGCAACAGCAGCAGCAACAAUUGCAAAACACAACGAUUCUUUACAAUCAAAUUGAUUUAAAUAAUGCUUUGCUGCAAAAUCAAUUACAUGCAAAUAAUAUCAUAAUCCAAGGCCCAAUUGGCACAUCAAACGGUUCUCUCCUUCCAGUUCAAACAAUUCAAACUCAUGACGGUAGUAUAUUCCACCACCAGCCAUCGUCUCAGCAGCAACAUAUUCAAAUAAAAAAUGAGCUGCAAACGAUGACAAGCGUGCCUUUAAGCACCACACCCACUACAACACUUUCAUCGUCUUCAUCAUCUAAUUCAAAUCACAAUCAGCACAUUCACCAACAACACCAUCAACAACAUAAUAUUCAACAACACCACCAGCAACAUCAAAUGGAUAUGACUUCCUUAACAAAACUCGAAAAUGUAUCCUAUCUGCCAACUUCGAAUGAAAAUCAUGUCAUUGGAACUGUACAAAGUUAUCAAAUUAUUACUCCUGAUGGAUUACACGCCUAUCAUCCCAAGCUAAUAAAUUCAAAUGAAAUCGAACUAUGUCCGUUUACAUCAACGGCAGGAGGCAGUUACACAUUUAGCAAUACAUCGAGUCAAAGUAAUAACAAUAAUAAUAGCAACAACACCGACCAUUCCCAAUUUAUGGAUAUAAAGAAUGAAUUGCUGAUAAAAAGCGAUCAGUUCAUGGAUACAUCUGGAAUGUAUCAUUUACCAUUUUCACCUAGCUCCAUGAUUAAUGCUGUUAGUGAAGUGAAUAAUUCAUCUUUAUUGGAAACCAAAGAAAUUAGCUACGAUAUAACGGAAGCGGUGUUAUUAGCUCUCUGAGACUCAAAUGAGUAAGAAAACAAGAUUGGAAUUAUAGCAUGAAAAAAUAAAUUUAAUGUGCUUCAUUGGUCCCCAAGUAAAACAUAAAACGACCAAAAUGAAUACCUACCUAAAACUGAUAUUUUUUAUAUUAUGUUAACCCAAAAAUAUAAAACAGAACUGAGGCCUAAAAAACGCAAAACAUCAGCUGCCGCUAAGCAUUAGUUCGAAGCACCAAGAACUACACUUAAGUUUUGUCAGUAAAUUUACAGAUUUUUUUAAAUCCUAUGGAACAGAUCAUAAAGUCAAUGUUGAAAA